This 459-nucleotide ribosomal RNA is filed under the name uncultured bacterium. Its description in RNAcentral is "partial 16S ribosomal RNA". It matches the Rfam family "Bacterial small subunit ribosomal RNA", at positions 338 to 795 of the family's 1533-position model. The record is from RNAcentral.
CCUACGGGAGGCAGCAGUGAGGAAUAUUGGUCAAUGGCCGAGAGGCUGAACCAGCCAAGUCGCGUGAGGGAUGACUGCCCUAUGGGUUGUAAACUUCUUUUGUCAGGGAGUAAAGUGUUCCACGUGUGGGCUUUGGUGAGUACCCGAAGAAAAAGCCUCGGCUAACUCCGUGCCAGCAGCCGCGGUAAUACGGAGGAUGCGAACGUUAUCCGGAUUUAUUGGGUUUAAAGGGUGGGUAGGGGGGUUAUUAAGUCAGCGGUAAAAUCGUGGGGCCAAACCCCAUACUGCCGUUGAAACUGAUGGUCUUGAGUGGGCGAGAGGUAUGCGGAAUGCGUGGUGUAGCGGUGAAAUGCAUAGAUAUCACGCAGAACUCCGAUUGCGAAGGCAGCAUACCGGCGCCCAACUGAUGCUGAAGCACGAAAGCGUGGGUAUCGAACAGGAUUAGAUACCCCUGUAGUC